UUUAAGCAUAUCACUCAGUGGAGGAAAGACAGGCAACCGCGAUUGCCCCAGUAAUGGCGAAUGAAUUGGCAACACAACCUGUGAAGGUGGCUCAUCCCGAAGUGGUUUCCCUUCCAGCACUGACCCCCAACCUCGCUGUUGUGGGGGCAGACGCGGUUGGCUACCGUGGAAUCCAGCAGAUGCUGUGGGCUAUGGACUGGGUGGUCUGUUGCGGUUCGACUUGGCAUGUGUCAGGAAGGGCCCUGGAAUGGCCCACAUCAGAGGGAGAGUGUCCCGUACCACCUGUGCACUGCCUCGCCUGCGUGCAGCACUGCCUGGAUCCAGGAGUAGAAUGGCUUGGGACUGCAGUUUGAAGUGCAAGGUGUAUCCAUUGCAAGGCAGAAUACUGACCUGGGACCGAUAGAGCACAAGUAGAGUGAUCGAAGGAUGCAAAGGACUUUGCAAAGAGGGUUAAAAGUCCCUGAAGCUGUGGCAGCAACGGCGGAGAGUGGAGCUGUGAAGCAGUGCAGACCCCUGCCUGGUCCCCCCAAGGGUGGCCUCCCAUUCACAAAUGCAGCUGUCGCUGCAGGGAGCCCCUUGGGUGUGUGUGCAUGAGGCGGUGUGUAUGGACCCAGUCCUGCAUCAUUCGCCUCUGUACUGGACCAUGGCAGAGGGAACGCACCACAUGCCAAGCAACCUUGGGCCAGCCCAGCACUGGCCAGGAAGCCCUGCCCCCAUGGGGAGGACGCUACCCUGGCAGUGCCUGGUGACACACUGCGUGCCUGGGCCUGAGGCUUAGAUUGGAUGGUUUGACCUUGUGGCGAAUGCGAUGUCCCCCUGCCUGCUGUGUCCUCUUCCCCGAAGCAGCAGAGCAAGCCAAAUGGGCUGUGAUGAUUGGUUACCUGUGCAGCAGCAAAGCCCCUCUGUGGAGGCAGCAGCAGUCAUGAUGGUGAUGCACACCCUGCAUGUGUGCUCUUGUGGGAGAGAGGCAACGACACAGAGGAGAGAGGAGAUGGGGAGACAGAAGACACAGACACCUGCUUGCCAGUGUCAUCCUCACAUUGCAUUGCUGAUGCUGAGUGAACACAACAACCCCUGGUGUGUCCACGGACAUGCCAGUCACUGUGCCUGGUCAUGGCCUGAGGCUGGUGGAUGCAUGGUGGCUGCACCACCCUAUGGCUGGUGGCUCCUGUGUGACCACGUGGUCUCCCAGACAGAGCAUGGUGUGAGAGGCAGAGUGGAGCUUGGGCCAUCAGUGCCACCCUCUGCCCGUCUUGAAACACGGAUCAAGGAGUCUAUGGAGCUUGCGCACAGUUGGAAGGUUCCCACAAUGGAAGCCGCAGUGCAUGGUGAAGGCAACAGACCCAGAUGGUGAAUCCCCUCGUGGGAGACAGUGCUGCAUGGGACACCAGUCCUGAAGUCCAAUGGACAAGGUUCUGAGUGAGUGCAAGGUCCCUGGGACCCGAAAGGUGGUGAACUAUACCAUUCUAUGGUGAAGCCUUGGGAAACUGAGGUGGAGGCCAGCAGCUGUUCUGACGUGCAAAUUGUGUAGCCUGAGUGUGGCAUAGGGGUGAAAGGCCAAUCGAACCACCUAGUAGCUGGUUUCCUUCGAAGUUUCCCUCAGGAUAGCA
This 1610-nucleotide ribosomal RNA is filed under the name Monomorphina sp. MI73. Its description in RNAcentral is "partial large subunit ribosomal RNA". It matches the Rfam family "Eukaryotic large subunit ribosomal RNA", at positions 33 to 983 of the family's 3401-position model. The record is from RNAcentral. Lineage: Eukaryota; Euglenozoa; Euglenophyceae; Euglenales; Euglenaceae.